This 434-nucleotide ribosomal RNA is filed under the name uncultured Coriobacteriaceae bacterium. RNAcentral describes it as "bacterial SSU rRNA". It matches the Rfam family "Bacterial small subunit ribosomal RNA", at positions 341 to 792 of the family's 1533-position model. RNAcentral also lists the same sequence under 1 other name. Lineage: Bacteria; Bacillati; Actinomycetota; Coriobacteriia; Coriobacteriales; Coriobacteriaceae. The record is from RNAcentral.
ACGGGAGGCAGCAGUGGGGAAUUUUGCGCAAUGGGCGAAAGCCUGACGCAGCAACGCCGCGUGCGGGAUGGAGGCCUUCGGGUUGUAAACCGCUUUCAGCAGGGAAGAACACUGACGGUACCUGCAGAAGAAGCCCCGGCUAACUACGUGCCAGCAGCCGCGGUAAUACGUAGGGGGCGAGCGUUAUCCGGAUUCAUUGGGCGUAAAGCGCGCGUAGGCGGCCGCCUAAGCGGGACCUCUAAUCCUGGGGCUCAACCUCAGGCCGGGUUCCGAACUGGGCGGCUCGAGUUCGGUAGAGGAGGAUGGAAUUCCCGGUGUAGCGGUGGAAUGCGCAGAUAUCGGGAGGAACACCGAUGGCGAAGGCAGUCCUCUGGGCCGCAACUGACGCUGAGGCGCGAAAGCUGGGGGAGCGAACAGGAUUAGAUACCCUGGUA